ACCGAAUCGAAAUUUGUUUCUCCUGAUUAUGAUACACAUAAAGUUUAUGAUAAUUCUCCAAUAAAUUCUUUAACGAUUAGUGGAUUUAGUGCGCGUAACAUUGAUACUUUUGGAAAAGAAAGAAAUAAAAUAUAUUCAUUCAAUACACCAACUGAUAUUAAAAGAAAUAUAUAUUUUAAUAAUUUAAUGCGAAUAUCUUCAUGCUGUAAUCAUUAUUUAUUUCCAAAUUUACUGUUUCUUUUAAAUCUACAUACAUUGCAAAUUUUAAUACGCGAUAAAACCGCAAUUGAAACUGAUUAUGUGAUUGAUAAAUUUGAUAAACUCCGAGAAAAACUAAUUCAAACAAAUAUAGAUCAUGCUGAAAAAAAAGGAAAAUAUACUCAUAAUAGUGAUACUACUGCUACUAUUUCCGAUACUUUAACAAACAAAACAUAUGAUAACGCAACUAAUAAAACCAAUACUUAUGCAGAAACAGAUAAAAACGCAGACCAAACAAAACAAAAAAGUGUUGACGAUUAUGACGAAAUGGACAAAGAAAUAUUAAAGCACUUAACUCAUAAAAAAAGUUUGUUUGAUAGCCAAAUGCAAGUUUUUAAAAAGAAAUACGACGAAAAGAAUAUUUUACAAGAUUAUGAAUUUAUUAAUUUAUGGAAAUAUAAUAAUAACGCAAAUAUAGUAGAAACAUUAAAUAAUAUACCAUUACCAAAAAUUUAUAUAAAUAUUGAUGAUCCAAAGUAUUGUCUUUGGAAAAUUUUACAACACUCAGGAAUGACAGCAUUUUCAGAAAUACCAACUCCUAACAGAAAAUUAGAGGCAUGGCGACAACAAAUAAAUUUAAAACAAUUUUAUAAACAAAACUUCGACACUAGCAUAAGUUUAAAAACAUAUUCAAAAAAAGACAUACAUCAGUAUCAAAUGAAAAUAUUAAAUAAGCCUUAUGACAAAAACAAAACUGUUAGUACGAUUAAUGCAGGCCAAAAUCAGCAUCAAACGCAGGAACGGGAACAGGAACAGGAACAGGAGCAACAGCAAGAGGAAGAUUAUUUAUAUAAUUAUAACAACAACCAUAACUACGGCCAUAACAACGACCAUAACAACGAGCAAAAUACAGAUUCAUUUCCACAACAUGAACAUGAACACGAACAACCAAAUUUAUAUACCAAACCGAAUAUAACUGACAAUAUUUUAACAAACGAACAAAAUAAUGUAGAAAAAUUAAAUAAGAAUUUAUUAGAAAAUGAUGUAAAAAACCAAAGCUUGGAAAAAAACUAUUCACAAAACGAAAACAAUAUCUUACACGAUGCUACAUAUAAUGUAACACAACAAAUUAAUAAUUGCAAAAAUAAUUACAAAAAAGCAUUUUAUACGUUAGUUGUUAGAGAUGGGAUCGUUGAUGAAACGUUAUCUGAUGACAUAAGUAUUUUAAAAGCAUUAGACAAUGAACUGCACAAAAAGGAAAAUAAUAAAAAUAUACAAAAUAAAACUGACUCUAAUUUGGGACAUGAUGAGGUAGUUAAUGAUAAUAACACUAAUAGUGAUAACCAAGCGAGUACCAACAAUGUAGAUGAAGAAAAUAACAUAAAAAAAAGUAAAAUAUUUGUAGGUGGUUUUUUUAAUAUUGAAGAUCCUGAAAUAGAAUAUUUAGUUAAUAAAGAAUUAUAUUUUAUACCAGAACAUUCAAAUUGGUAUAAAAAAAAUACUCAACCAUUUGUUAGAGGUCAGGUAGGUAAACAAUCACGAAAAUUUGAUAAUGAUUAUCCAAUAUAUGAUUACAGAAAAAGCGAUUUUGGUAUGGCUAAAUUUUCAGCCUUAAAUUUAGCCUCAAUUAAAGAUUGUGCAGUUGUUUACUUAGAUAAAGAUAUCGAUUUGAGCGACAAAUAUAUUCAUAUUAUAUUUUUAUCAACGUCAAAAAACGAAGAUGAUAAUUUAAAAACAGAAACAACAAAU
This 1947-nucleotide long non-coding RNA is filed under the name Piliocolobus tephrosceles (Ugandan red Colobus). Its description in RNAcentral is "lncRNA (ENSPTEG00000015091.1)". The record is from RNAcentral. Lineage: Eukaryota; Metazoa; Chordata; Mammalia; Primates; Cercopithecidae.